CAAGGUAUAGCUCAGUGGUAGAGCUUAGUAUGCAGGAGGUCCUGGGUUCAAUCCCCAGUACCUCCA
This 66-nucleotide transfer RNA is filed under the name Camelus bactrianus (Bactrian camel). It matches the Rfam family "tRNA". Rfam says of the family: Transfer RNA (tRNA) molecules are approximately 80 nucleotides in length. Lineage: Eukaryota; Metazoa; Chordata; Mammalia; Artiodactyla; Camelidae. RNAcentral also lists the same sequence under 2 other names. The record is from Rfam by way of RNAcentral.